This 1626-nucleotide long non-coding RNA is filed under the name Pelobates cultripes (western spadefoot toad). The record is from RNAcentral. Lineage: Eukaryota; Metazoa; Chordata; Amphibia; Anura; Pelobatidae.
UCUUGACUGCUGUCUAGAUGUCUGUACCACCCACCCGAUGCCCCCCUUUCCCCAAUGACACACAGAGACCGUAAUUAAGUUGGGUAAGGGCAUCGGCCACAGCUUUAUUUAUUCUUUCCAUGCCAGCAACAUAAUCAUACUGUCAGCUGUUGGGGUGAUUGCCCAACAGACAGGUCUAUCCCCACAAACCAUGAGUCCUGAGCAGCCUGCCUCCGCCAUCAGCUCCCAACAGGCUGCAACUCCCCAAGCCUCCUCGGCAACUUCACCACUUCUGCCUGCGCUGGCCAGGACUCCCGCCACCGUGAUGACGACUUCCCUUCACGCCUCCUGCCGUCAUCGCGCCCCCCGCCGACAGCGCAGCCUCAAUCCCACCCUGCAAACCCGUGUUCAGGAUGUCUAACCCUAUUUCAUUUAAGUGGACCCCAUCCUUUCUCAUCAAGUUCUGGUUUUCUCCUUCCAGCUCCACGUGUCGGAUGACCGCCCUACCUAGCCGCCGUACAAAUUUCCCCACUGCGAUGUUCAGCUUGCGCCGGCUCUUCUCCAAACCGCGAGAGUGCGGAAGCGCGCGCCAGCACGGCCUGGAAACCACCUCCGACCAAACCAAGGUCAUGUCUGGAAAGAGCGCCAUGCACCUCGCCAAGUCGUGCCGAAUCGCGUGGAGAAGGUCCACAUUCCUGGAUACCCCUAAGUCGUUACCGCCCGCGUGGACCACCGCCACCACCGGCCCCGACACAAACUUACGCAGGGCCACGAACUCUGGAUAAAUUUGCUGCCACCGGAGGCCCCUAAUGCCCUUCCACCUGACUCUGGCCACGUCCAACGAAAACCCCAAAUUCCAUCCAUAGGCCCGGCCUUCAGCUCGCCUAGCUGCCCAGUACACAUAGGAAUGCCCUAUAAUCCACACGUACCGGGGCCGACCACCUACAACGAGAAGAGGGUUACAGCAUAUGAGGUCGGACAUAAGACUUAAAACGCCCCGACCCCCAUCUUCCAAUCCGUUGAAUUCCCGCAGCCGAGUACCCCAAUACACUCGCCUGGGUAACCGCCCCGAUCCGAAAUGAAUGGGCCGAAAACCCGUGACCAUCCAUGCCACUCUCAACCAAUGCUCUCUUCAACAUCGCCGAGAACUGAUACCGGGUUAGAGGAGACCCGUCCACGUGAGCUAACAAAGGGCCUCCCCGCUCCGGGCGCACCUCCAGAAAAUCGUGGAAGGCCCCAACCGGACAAACUUCGUCCCUCGUGGCCCCCAAACGAACCCAGGCCCCCCGGGCCGCCUGGUCCGUCUUAGAUCGCCGCACAAAAAUGUCGAUGGUGGAAGUAGACCACCGCACAUCCGACAAUGCCAACGGCGAGGCCUUCCCCUUGCUCGGGGCUACCAACUCGCCGAUGCGAAAGGCACGAAAAAAGCAGACCGAGAAGGCCACGCGAAACAGCUUCGAUACGUACUCCGAACCACAGACCGUCGGUAGUACUAAAAUAAUCCGCCGCAACAUUUCAGCCGAAAUUGGGUGACGACCAUCCGGGCGACGCCGCAGCCGCCAACCCUUGACCACCCUCUGAAUCCCAUAUUCCUUAGUAACAUCCUGCCAGCCCAUAAAGCGAAACAGGAACGACAGGGCAGCCAAC